GACGAACGCUGGCGGCGUGCCUAACACAUGCAAGUCGAACGAAAAGUUCCGGUCUUUGGGCGCAGGGCUGCGGACGGCGUGGGGAGCUACACGUGGGUACGCAAUAACUCCCCGAGAGGGAUCCUAAUGCCAGAUAGUGUCUUAGCACCUAGGAUUUAUGGCGUUUGGGUGGGCCCUCGUUGGAUUCGCUGGUUGGUAGGGUAAAAGCCUACCAAGGGGACGAUCCAUAGCUGGUCUGAGAGGAUGAUCAGCCACACUAGGACUGAGACACGGCCCAGACUCGUACGGGAGGCAGCAGUGGGGAACAUUGGACAAUGGGCGAAAGCCUGAUCCAGCAAUGUCGGGUGAGUGAUGAAGGCCUUAGGGUUGCAAAGCUCUUUUACCCGGGAUGAUAAUGACAGUACCGGGAGAAUAAGCUCCGGCUAACUCCGUG
This 433-nucleotide ribosomal RNA is filed under the name uncultured bacterium. Its description in RNAcentral is "partial 16S ribosomal RNA". It matches the Rfam family "Bacterial small subunit ribosomal RNA", at positions 28 to 507 of the family's 1533-position model. The record is from RNAcentral.